GGACCGUUCAGAGCUGGGUUAGGGUUGGGACCAUUCAGAGCUGGGUUAGGGUUGGGACCGUUCAGAGCUGGGUUAGGGUUAGAACCGUUCAGAGCUCUGGUUAGGGUUAGGGUCGGGACCGUUCAGAGCUGGGUUAGGGUUAGGACCAUUCAGAGCUGGGUUAGGGUUAGGGUCGGGACCGUUCAGAGCUGGGUCAGGGUUAGGGUCGGGACCGUUCAGAGAUGGGUUCAUGGUCAGGGUCGGGACCGUUCAGAGCUGGGUUCAUGGUCAGGGUCGGGACCGUUCAGAGCUGGGUUAGGGUUGGGACCGUUCAGAGCUGGGUUAGGGUUAGGACCAUUCAGAGCUGGCUUAGGGUUAGGGUUGGGACCGUUCAGAGCUGGGUUAGGGUUGGGACCGUUCAGAGCUGGGUCAGGGUUAGGGUCGGGACCGUUCAGAGCUGGGUCAGGGGUUAGGGUCGGGACCGUUCAGAGCUGGGUCAGGGUUAGGGUCGGGACCGUUCAGAGCUGGGUUCAUGGUCAGGGUCGGGACCGUUCAGAGCUGGGUCAGGGUUGGGACCGUUCAGAGCUGGGUUAGGGUUAGGGUUGAGACCGUUCAGAGCUGGGUCAGGGUUAGGGUUGGGACCGUUCAGAGCUGGGUUAUGGUUGGGACCGUUCAGAGCUGGGUUAGGGUUAGUGUCGGGACCGUUCAGAGCUGGGUUAGGGUUAGGACCAUUCAGAGCUGGGUUAGGGUCGGGACCGUUCAGAGCUGGGUUAGGGUUAGGGUUGGGACCGUUCAGAGCUGGGUCAGGGUUAGGGUUAAGACCGUUCAGAGCUGGGUUAGGGUUGGGACCGUUCAGAGCUGGGUCAGGGUUAGGGUUAGGACUGUUCAGAAAUGGGCGAGGGUUAGGGUUUUUCAAAGCUGGGUCAGGGUUAGUAGAAUAUGUACCAACCCUGCCAGGUCAAUGUUACUUUUGCUGCGUUCAAAACAACUGGGAAUUCGAUAAACCAGAUCUGACUGGGGAGAAAUCGAUUUGAACGGUCAUCCAACUCGGGCCUCUUUCUAGAGCUCCGACUUUCCGACCUGAAGAUCACUGACGUUAUGGUUUGACCUCGUAUUGUUACGAAUUCCCAGUAGUUUUGAACGCGGCAUUAGUCCUAUCACUCUCCAGUGAUGUCAUUUAAACCUGUCUCACUCUCCAGUGAUGUCAUUUUAAACCUGUCUCACUCUCCAGUGAUGUCAUUUUAAACCUGUCUCACUCUCCAAUGAUGUCAUUUAAACCUGUCUCACUCUCCAGUGAUGUCAUUUAAACAUGUCUCACUCUCCAGUGAUGACAUUUUAAACCUGUCUCACUCUCCAGUGAUGUCAUUUAAACCUGUCUCACUCUCCAGUGAUGUCAUUUAAACCUG
This 1385-nucleotide long non-coding RNA is filed under the name Salmo salar (Atlantic salmon). Its description in RNAcentral is "lncRNA (ENSSSAG00000095002.1)". The record is from RNAcentral. Lineage: Eukaryota; Metazoa; Chordata; Actinopteri; Salmoniformes; Salmonidae.